Nanorana parkeri is the source of this 284-nucleotide long non-coding RNA. RefSeq lists it as uncharacterized. The transcript is spliced from 3 exons. NCBI's taxonomy places the organism in Eukaryota, Metazoa, Chordata, Amphibia, Anura, Dicroglossidae. The record is from RefSeq and is a predicted model, not a curated record.
ACUGAGAAGUCCCCAGCUGCAACCAAACAGCACCUCACAAUGCUUUCUUGUAUUUUAUUACCUUUUGGAUGGCUCCAGCUCCAGCUCACUGGUGAUCAGAGACCCUGAAAAUAAAGUGCUGUUAGAGAGAAAGGGACAUAGGGGACCUGUAUGGCUCCGAGAGAAGAUCACCUUCCUGGAUUCAAGUCAGAGCUUCCAGAUUAUCAUUGAGGGAUUUGCCGGAGCAGAGGGAGAUACUGUGGCUCUUGAUGAUCUUAUACUGUCCCCUGGUUGCAAUGUACAAG